RNAcentral lists this long non-coding RNA (2168 nucleotides) under Limulus polyphemus (Atlantic horseshoe crab). RNAcentral's name for it is "uncharacterized LOC111089444". The stretch from base 1492 to 1564 matches the Rfam family "Small nucleolar RNA SNORD34". Lineage: Eukaryota; Metazoa; Arthropoda; Merostomata; Xiphosura; Limulidae. The record is from RNAcentral.
GCCCUCUUCCGAGUUCUUUUUGUGGUAAGGAGCACAAAACUGAACCCGAUAUUGCAAAAGUGGCCUAUAUAAUAAAAUUAUAACCUGUUUACACUUGUAUUCAAUAUUUCUGAAGAUACAACCUAAAAUCAUAUUUUCCCCGCCACUAGCAACAACACACUGCGUGGAUGGAUUAAGAGACUGAUCAACCAGAACACCAAGAUCCUCUUUUCACGUUAAAAUUAUACUUUUAAUUCCAAUUGUGAUAUCCCACAUGCAUUACCUUGCAUUUAUUCUAGAUAAUGUCAACUGCCAUUUUUUCACAUAACUCACCAAAUAAUCCAAAUAAUUUUGUAAAGUAGUAGUAGUAUCCUUCAGCCAGCAAAUUUAACAAGAGUUUGUGUAGUAUCUUGUCGUAUGCUUUCUGAGUAUCCAUAUGCACCAAAUUCACAUCCAUACUCUCAUCUAUGUAGGCAAUAACCUCUUAAAAGAAUACUUAGAAAUUAAUAAGGCAAGAUUAUCUCUCGAGGAAAUAAAGCCGGCUAUCCAACAACAUUUCAAACUUUGUUAAAUGACUUUGCAAAGUAUGUUUUAUCAGACCUUAAAUAUGUCCUAUCACUGAUGUAAGACUAAAAGGUCUAUAAAUAGUGGAACAAAUUUAAAACAUGCUUUGAAAAGAGGAGUAACAUUAGCCAAUUUCCAGGAUUCUGCCACCUGCCCUCUAUUCAAGGACAUAGAAAAUAUAAUAGCAAGGGAUUCGUUUAUCCAACCCUUAACAUGUAGAUACCUUCGGUUUUCGGGUUCUGCUUUGGGAUUUGAUCCAUGUUUGGACCAGGGUGGGUCAGGUUCAGCAUUGACAUCUUCCUACCUAUUAGAAGUUGAUGUUAUUCUAUUUGAACUGAGACUGAUUCCUAGGUAAUAUUCCCGUUACUAUGUUAUUUUACUCGCGGUGUAUUAAAUAUUGUUCGUUGUCCACAGUUUUUUUAUUUAACGUACCUUUUGUAGGCCAUGUCUAUUUCAUGUGGUUAUAUGUGGUCUGUUUAUACACACACACACACACACGAUAUAUUGUAUGUAUCGUUACCUAAAUUCACAAUCACGGAGUAAAUAAUUUAACUAUUAAGUAAAAUAUAGUAAAAACUUGAUUUAGAGUUGGAGCAUGAAAUUAAAUGAAUAUCUUCUAUAAUAGGAUGGUAGGUACAUUUAUUGAUAUUUCACUAAAUAGAAAAGUCAGAAUUCUAAGAAUGUAAAUUGGUCCUUGCAAUUAUUUUUAUUUGUAGAUUGUGUCUAUAUAAUGAGAACAGUGUAGUCUGUAGUGUAGAUACUUUGUGAUAGUAUAACAACAAAGUUAUUAUUAACAUUGUAGUACGUGUACACCUAUUUUAAACAAAUUUUAAGUCAUGUAAGACUAGAAUAAUUCAAGCAUCGUGCCAUUUUUCUAAACUUAAUUUCUAUUUUCUUAGCUUUAAAUAUUCUUAAAAUAUUGCAUUAUGAAAGUUUCAGUUAUGCCAAAUUUGUACAUGAUGUUAUCAAUUUACCUACAUUGUUUGACUAUUGUGAAAAAACAUUUUGAACUGAUAUGAGCAUAGGCUAGUGACAGUUAUGGAAGUAAUUCUUUUUGAUUUUCUUGUGAUAAGAACCUUGUUUUUAUUUAUCUCAGCUUCUUGAGGAAACAAUGCAAUGUUAACUCCGGGCAUGGUCCAUUUCAUUUCUGUACUCUGCACCGUAAGGGUAAUGGUGUCCCACAAGAAGUAACAAGAAGAUGCCCUUUCAAAGCUUAAGACCUUUGAGAGUGUCCCACUACCUUAUGAUGAGUGGAAGAAGGUUGUAAUUCCAUUAGUUUUGUGUGUGAUGAGGUUGCAACCUGGAAGAAAGUAAACAGCAUGGUUCAGGGUUCAUCUUCACUAUUCUUAGGUAGUUACUUCAAAAAAUGGACAUGUUAAAAAAUAAAGCUAGAGAGCUGAGGGAAAAAAACUCUGUGAAGAAGAAAUGAAAUUUCUUUUAAAUGUGUUCUCGUCUGAUGAAGAAGGCAUUCUGUUAGAGGAGUCUGAUGUUGAUGAACUUUCAGCUAAUGUGUCAAUGGCUCUGACAGAAUCUCAAUAAAACCAGAUGGCAACAGAAUCUAGAGCCAGCUCUUCUUGAUUCUGUCUUAUGGAAAUAGUUGGUGAAAGAUCAUCAGAUGAGGAUGU